UACGUAGGGUCCAAGCGUUGUCCGGAUUUAUUGGGCGUAAAGAGUUCGUAGGUGGUUGCUUAAGUCUGGUGUUAAAUACCGAAGCUCAACUUCGGCAUGGCAUCGGAAACUGGGUGGCUGGAGUCCGUCAGAGGUAACUGGAAUUCCUGGUGUAGCGGUGAAAUGCGUAGAUAUCAGGAGGAACACCCGUGGCGAAAGCGAGUUACUGGGACGGUACUGACACUGAGGAACGAAAGCCUGGGUAGCGAAAGGG
This 253-nucleotide ribosomal RNA is filed under the name uncultured bacterium. RNAcentral describes it as "partial 16S ribosomal RNA". It matches the Rfam family "Bacterial small subunit ribosomal RNA", at positions 524 to 776 of the family's 1533-position model. The record is from RNAcentral.